AACGCGAAGAACCUUACCUGGGCUCGAACGGCUUCCUAACGCCGGUGGAAACACCGGUAUCCCGCAAGGGAGUGGAGUCGAGGUGCUGCAUGGCUGUCGUCAGCUCGUGUCGUGAGAUGUUGGGUUAAGUCCCGCAACGAGCGCAACCCUUGUCCUGUGUUGCCAUCAUUUAGUUGGGAACUCGCAGGAGACCGCCAGCGAUAAGCUGGAGGAAGGUGGGGAUGACGUCAAGUCCUCAUGGCCUUUAUGUCCAGGGCUACACACGUGCUACAAUGGACGGUACAAUACGUCGCUAACCCGCGAGGGGGAGCCAAUCGCUAAAAACCGUUCUCAGUUCGGAUUGCAGGCUGCAACUCGCCUGCAUGAAGCUGGAAUCGCUAGUAAUGGCAGAUCAGCACGCUGCCGUGAAUACGUUCCCGGGCCUUGUA
Molecule: ribosomal RNA, 428 nt
Filed under: uncultured Acidobacterium sp.
Lineage: Bacteria; Pseudomonadati; Acidobacteriota; Terriglobia; Terriglobales; Acidobacteriaceae
Description: bacterial SSU rRNA
Rfam family: Bacterial small subunit ribosomal RNA
Source: RNAcentral